CCGGUACGAAGGAGAUCUCUGGAGAGAUGCCCUUUCAACCUUCUGUCUUUGCGAAAGGCCUAUUGAAUAAGGGCCGUGGAUGUGUCUAGCUGCCAGGUAAGAGCUGAGAGGAAGAAUUACUUUCGGUUCCUCAGACAGA
This 139-nucleotide long non-coding RNA is filed under the name Ornithorhynchus anatinus (platypus). Its description in RNAcentral is "lncRNA (ENSOANG00000048411.1)". The record is from RNAcentral. Lineage: Eukaryota; Metazoa; Chordata; Mammalia; Monotremata; Ornithorhynchidae.